UCGAUGCAUCGCGAAGAACCUUACCUCAUCUCUUGACAUCCAGAGAACUUUCCAGAGAUCGGAUUGGUGCCUUCGGGAACUCUGAGACAGGUGCUGCAUGGCUGUCGUCAGCUCGUGUUGUGAAAUGUUGGGUUAAGUCCCGCAACGAGCGCAACCCUUAUCCUUGUUUGCCAGCGAGUAAUGUCGGGAACUCCAGGGAGACUGCCGGUGAUAAACCGGAGGAAGGUGGGGACGACGUCAAGUCAUCAUGGCCCUUACGAGUAGGGCUACACACGUGCUACAAUGGCGCAUACAGAGGGCGGCCAACUUGCGAAAGUGAGCGAAUCCCAAAAAGUGCGUCGUAGUCCGGAUUGGAGUCUGCAACUCGACUCCAUGAAGUCGGAAUCGCUAGUAAUCGUGGAUCAGAAUG
RNAcentral lists this ribosomal RNA (409 nucleotides) under Vibrio parahaemolyticus. RNAcentral describes it as "bacterial SSU rRNA". It matches the Rfam family "Bacterial small subunit ribosomal RNA", at positions 951 to 1356 of the family's 1533-position model. Lineage: Bacteria; Pseudomonadati; Pseudomonadota; Gammaproteobacteria; Vibrionales; Vibrionaceae. The record is from RNAcentral.